AGCUUUGCGCAGUGGCAAUAACGUAGCCAGUGAGGUUUAUCCAAGGUGUGAUCAUUGCUAAUUGAAAUAAAUAAAUAAAUA
RNAcentral lists this small nuclear RNA (81 nucleotides) under Echinops telfairi (small Madagascar hedgehog). RNAcentral's name for it is "U4 spliceosomal RNA (ENSETEG00000025991.1)". It matches the Rfam family "U4 spliceosomal RNA", at positions 1 to 81 of the family's 138-position model. Rfam says of the family: U4 small nuclear RNA (U4 snRNA) is a component of the major U2-dependent spliceosome. The structure of U4 snRNA from yeast and human has been reported. U4 snRNA presents a k-turn RNA motif in the 5p-SL related to recognition of Snu13 protein. Lineage: Eukaryota; Metazoa; Chordata; Mammalia; Afrosoricida; Tenrecidae. The record is from RNAcentral.